CGAGACGUAGCGCAGCCUGGUUAGCGUACCUGCCUUGGGAGCAGGAUGUCACGUGUUCAAAUCACGUCGUCUCGA
This 75-nucleotide transfer RNA is filed under the name Moramonas marocensis. RNAcentral describes it as "tRNA-Pro". It matches the Rfam family "tRNA". From Rfam's summary of the family: Transfer RNA (tRNA) molecules are approximately 80 nucleotides in length. Their secondary structure includes four short double-helical elements and three loops (D, anti-codon, and T loops). Further hydrogen bonds mediate the characteristic L-shaped molecular structure. tRNAs have two regions of fundamental functional importance: the anti-codon, which is responsible for specific mRNA codon recognition, and the 3' end, to which the tRNAs corresponding amino acid is attached (by aminoacyl-tRNA synthetases). tRNAs cope with the degeneracy of the genetic code in two manners: having more than one tRNA (with a specific anti-codon) for a particular amino acid; and 'wobble' base-pairing, i.e. permitting non-standard base-pairing at the 3rd anti-codon position. Lineage: Eukaryota; Jakobea; Jakobida; Moramonadidae. The record is from RNAcentral.